RNAcentral lists this ribosomal RNA (253 nucleotides) under uncultured bacterium. RNAcentral's name for it is "partial 16S ribosomal RNA". It matches the Rfam family "Bacterial small subunit ribosomal RNA", at positions 524 to 776 of the family's 1533-position model. The record is from RNAcentral.
UACGGAGGGGGCAAGCGUUGUUCGGAAUUACUGGGCGUAAAGGGCGCGUAGGCGGCCUGUUAAGUCGGACGUGAAAUCCCCGGGCUCAACCCGGGAACUGCGUCCGAUACUGGCAGGCUUGAAUUCGGGAGAGGGAUGCGGAAUUCCAGGUGUAGCGGUGAAAUGCGUAGAUAUCAGGAGGAACACCUGUGGUGAAGACAGCUUACUGGACCACUUCUGACGCUGAGACACGAAAGCGUGGGUAGCAAACAGG